GGGGAUGAAAGGAUUUCGACGGGGAUUUUGAACCGUUAUAAGCGAGCAGAGGUGCGGUACCGCUUUAAAAAUCGCAAUUUUAAAAAUAACUGACAAUAAUAAAACAGUUUUAGCUGCUGCUUAAGUCAGCGGCCGUUCUUACCGGGAGUACCGCGACCCGGAUAAGAGCGUCACUUAGCGGUGCACGUGAACAAAUGAGAGUCCUGUAAUUUGUCACGGUUUAAAGGACUACCAAAGAUUAAAGCCUGUUUACCGGCGUUUUUCUGAGGGAAUUUCAAAAGAUAAACUACGCUCGUAGAAAGU
Molecule: transfer-messenger RNA, 303 nt
Filed under: human gut metagenome
Rfam family: transfer-messenger RNA
About the family: Bacterial tmRNA, also known as 10Sa RNA or SsrA, is named for its dual tRNA and mRNA-like properties. Its role is to liberate the mRNA from a stalled ribosome. To accomplish this part of the tmRNA is used as a reading frame that ends in a translation stop signal.
Source: RNAcentral